Molecule: ribosomal RNA, 273 nt
Filed under: uncultured bacterium
Lineage: Bacteria
Description: partial 16S ribosomal RNA
Rfam family: Bacterial small subunit ribosomal RNA
Source: RNAcentral
AACGAACGCUGGCGGCAGGCCUCAAACAUGCAAGUCUAGGGGUGUAGCAAUACAUCACCGGCGGACGGGUGCGUAACACGUGGGAAUAUACCUUUUGGUUCGGAACAACGCAGGGAAACUUGCGCUAAUACCGAAUGUGCCCUUACGGGGAAAGAUUUAUCGCCUUUAGAGCGGCCCGCGUCUGAUUAGCUAGUUGGUGAGGUAAAGGCUCACCAAGGCUACGAUCAGUAGCUGGUCUGAGAGGAUGACCAGCACAUUGGGACUGAGACACGG